UACGGGAGGCAGCAGUGGGGAAUAUUGCACAAUGGGCGCAAGCCUGAUGCAGCCAUGCCGCGUGUAUGAAGAAGGCCUUCGGGUUGUAAAGUACUUUCAGUCGUGAGGAAGGUGUUAAGGUUAAUAACCUUAGCAAUUGACGUUAGCGACAGAAGAAGCACCGGCUAACUCCGUGCCAGCAGCCGCGGUAAUACGGAGGGUGCGAGCGUUAAUCGGAAUUACUGGGCGUAAAGGGCACGCAGGCGGUUAAUUAAGUUGGAUGUGAAAUCCCCGGGCUUAACCUGGGAAUGGCAUUCAAGACUGGUUAGCUAGAGUCUUGUAGAGGGGGUAGAAUUCCGAUGUGUAGCGGUGAAAUGCGUAGAGAUGUGGAGGAAUACCGGUGGCGAAGGCGGCCCCUGGACAAAGACUGACGCUCAUGUGCGAAAGCGUGGGGAGCAAACAGGAUUAGAUACC
RNAcentral lists this ribosomal RNA (453 nucleotides) under uncultured bacterium. Its description in RNAcentral is "bacterial SSU rRNA". It matches the Rfam family "Bacterial small subunit ribosomal RNA", at positions 340 to 786 of the family's 1533-position model. The record is from RNAcentral.